GCGAUUAACAACUCAUCUAGACUCAAUAACAGCUCAUCAUUUAAGAAUAUGUGCAAAAAGAUAAAUUCACAAAUAAUUACAAGGUUGGACUUUGGUAUUGAAGGCACUUAGAAAUGGAAAAGACUAGAAAUGAAAUGAAAUGUCAACUUUAAGAUUAGAUUUCACCAAUUCACUCUUGUGUAUAACCAAUUUCAUCUCCUCUCUAU
This 206-nucleotide long non-coding RNA is filed under the name Vigna radiata. Its description in RNAcentral is "long non-coding RNA (VRAD_LNC011333)". The record is from RNAcentral. Lineage: Eukaryota; Viridiplantae; Streptophyta; Magnoliopsida; Fabales; Fabaceae.